UGAAUUGACGGGACCCCGCACAAGCGGUGGAUCAUGUUGUUUAAUUCGAUGAUACGCGAAGAACCUUACCAGGUCUUGACAUCCCCCGCGAUGCUUUAGAGAUAAAGCGGAGGUAUUCGGGGAGACAGGUGGUGCAUGGUUGUCGUCAGCUCGUGUCGUGAGAUGUUGGGUUAAGUCCCGCAACGAGCGCAACCCCUAUUGCUAGUUACCAUCAUUAAGUUGGGGACUCUAGCGAGACUGCCAGUGAUAAACUGGAGGAAGGUGGGGAUGACGUCAAAUCAUCAUGCCCCUUAUGACCUGGGCUACAAACGUGAUACAAUGGCUGGAACAAAGGGAUGCGAAGCAGUGAUGUGGAGCGAAACCCAUAAAAACAGUCUCAGUUCGGAUUGAAGUCUGCAACUCGACUUCAUGAAGUCGGAAUCGCUAGUAAUCGCGCAUCAGCAUGGCGCGGUGAAUACGUUCCCGGGCCUU
Molecule: ribosomal RNA, 471 nt
Filed under: uncultured Acholeplasma sp.
Lineage: Bacteria; Bacillati; Mycoplasmatota; Mollicutes; Acholeplasmatales; Acholeplasmataceae
Description: bacterial SSU rRNA
Rfam family: Bacterial small subunit ribosomal RNA
Source: RNAcentral